Molecule: long non-coding RNA, 1541 nt
Organism: Acanthopagrus latus (yellowfin seabream)
Lineage: Eukaryota; Metazoa; Chordata; Actinopteri; Spariformes; Sparidae
Exons: 2
Source: RefSeq, a predicted model, not a curated record
AAUUAAAUAUAAAACGGCAGCAAAAUCGCGAUGAUAUUGCUUUCACAGAAAGUGUCUACAUGAUUUUAUUUUGAAGUUUAUUGUGUCUAAAGGAUUUUAUUUAGAGGUUUAUUGUGUCUAAACGACUUUAUUUUGAAGUUUAUUGUGUCUAAACUAUUUUAUUUUGAAGUUCUUGCACUUCCCGGCCUGAGACUAGAGGCUGCACUGGAAGUGACCCCACACUGGAGGUCUGCAGCCAGACUCUUGGAUUUACUUAGUGCUGACAAGAUUAAAUUAUCCAGUUUAAUUGUAUAGUAGCCAGGCUGACAGUUGAUUAUAAAAUAAGCUAUAGCACGAGAAUGAAGAUGAAUAGUUUAAGACACAAUCUCGGGGUGUAACCAGACUGUCUUAUUUUGUAUGAGGACAGAUAAGAAUGAAGAGGAAGGGAGAUAUUUCAGGCUUUUUUCUUUUAAGAAGCACAAAUGAGGCACAGCUCAGGUCCAGACAGACUCCAGCACCAAUGUCAGCAGCCCUGGCAGCUCUGAAGCUGCAGCUAGUCAGGCAGGUCAGUGUGGUCAGACACAAGGACCCAGUCUACCAGCCCCAGGUCAGAGCUUACAGAGGCAGUAAACUGCAUGCCCAGUUAGGACACUGAGCAGUUUGGCCUCACUCUGUAACAAUAGAUGAUUGUGUGUGUGAUGUUAUUUUGUUGCUGUUUUAUUUAUUUUGACGCCAUCUGUAUUUUUCACAAUGCAGUUUCCUCAGUUGUUGAGAGUGACACAUACGUCUGCCUCUGAGGAGGAAGACAGUGAGCCAGAGCUGCUAGGAGGAGAUGCCACUGAACCCCCACAUCCACAUCAAGCUCCACAUAGUGUGCACCUAAAGGACCAAGUGACAUCUCAAGAUCCAGAGAGGAGGGUCCUGUUCAGCCGUGUCUGAAAAUGUUCCCAAGAACUCGACAUGAAACAAGGAAGAGGGCGUUCGACAGUUCUUGGUAUACGGACAAUUCAAAAAGGAGGAGAAAUCCUCUUUGUGUUUUUUUUGUUGUUGUUUUUUUUUUUAAUCACUUCGCAGGUUAAUCAAUCACCCUCCAACAGCCAGAAAAGAGAAAUAACUCACAUUUAAUUUGGCUUUCUUUAUUUCCCACAGAUAACUACAAAAGUAACCAUCAGUGUAGCCUAUUGUAUUUUUUCCCAACAGCGUAAUUUUAAAGUCUGUGUUUCUAGUUUGCUGCUGCAUUGAGUAUAAGAUUAAAUGACUUGUAGUUCAAUCUGUGGACAGUAAGUGUGUGUCUGCCUCUAAUGUUGGGUCCUGGGGGUGAGUGACGCCCUCAGCCUCUGGUCACCCUGCAGCCUGACUCAGGAUCAGCUCCUCAGCCUCUGUCGGACGUGGUGGAGGUGAGAACCACUUCAUGUUCAACUACUCAGCAGGAUGUUAGGACACAGAUGUGUGUUAAACAUUAUCUGUUGGUGGUAAAAGCUACUACAAGUUAAAAUAUCCACUGAAUAAACUUUUACUUUGUUCAAUAUGUGAAAUAAAACCAAAGUGAGGAGCCAUCGUGA